AUGAAACUGUCCAAAUCUAGUAGUGCCUUUUUAGGAAAUAUGGGGUUGUUGUUUUUUUUUAAUUUUUUUCAUGCUCAUUAUUUUCUUCAAACUUUAUUUCUAUUCUGUAAGUUUUUGGCAAUUUAAAUUUUCCCGGCUAAGCACAGUGGCUCAUGCUUGUAAUCCCAGCACUUCUGGAGGCGGAGGCAGGAAGAUUGCUUGAGCCCAGGAGUUCACAAUCAGCCUGGGCAACAUAGUCGCUACUAAAAAUUAGCUAGGCAUGGUGGUGUGUGCCUGUAGUCCCAGCUACUCAGGAGGCUGAAGCAGUAGGAUCACUUGAGCCCUGGGGGCCGAAGCUGCAGUGAGCCGUGAGCAUGCCUGGGACACAGAGCAAGACCCUUUCUCAAAAAAAAAUUUUUUUUAAUUAAGUGAAUUUUCCUAAAUAGUGAUUCUGUUCUAUUUUCAGAUUUGUUGGCCUGGAGUUGUAGUAUUCUGCUUCCUCAUUCCCAUGUUGCGUGUGCUUUCCCUUUUUGUUCUCAUUGGUUUUUCCAGAAUUACUCUGUUUCAUUGAUCUUUUCAAAUAACCAACUCUGAGAUUUAUAUCUUAAUUUUACUGUUUUACUAUUUCAUGAUUCUUUUCGUUUUGUUCUUAAUUUUUUCCUUUAUUAUUUUCCCACCUUCUUAAGUUACAUGCCAUUUUAACUUUUUCUUACUUAAUAAAAGACAGUUACUAACAUUGUAAGGUACGACUUUUCCUCUAAAUACAUCUUUAUCCAUAUCUCUUAAAUUUAUAUUUAGUGUUCUAAGUUAUAAAUAAUUUAUAAUUUCAGAUUUGACUUUAUUUUUUACUGGAGUUUUUUGAAAUUAUACUUUUAAAUUUCCAGG
This 864-nucleotide long non-coding RNA is filed under the name Homo sapiens (human). Its description in RNAcentral is "long non-coding RNA NONHSAT235552". Lineage: Eukaryota; Metazoa; Chordata; Mammalia; Primates; Hominidae. The record is from RNAcentral.